AACUAGACAUAGCUCAAAACUAACUCCACAAAACUAUAUAAACAGAACAAAAACAAAACAAAACAUUUAUAAGACAAAAGUAUGGGCGAUAGAAAUUAUAUUUGACGCUAUAGAGGCAGUACCGUAAGGGAACUAAUGAAAGAGACCCAUAAGUAGGCAAUAGCAAAGCUUAACCCUUGUACCUUUUGCAUAAUGAUUCAAUUAGAACACCUUAGCAAAAAGAAUUUAAGUUAAAAACCCCGAAACCAGACGAGCUACCUAGCAGCAACUCAGAGAGUGAACUCGUCUAUGUGGCAAAAUAGUGAGACGACUUCUAGGUAGAGGCGAAAAACCUAUCGAGCCUGGUGAUAGCUGGUUGUCCAGAAGAGAAUUUUAGUUCUAAUCUAAGUUACGCCAAAAAUAAGACGAAAUAAAAUGCAAACUUAGACUAUAGUCUAAAAGGGUACAGCCUUUUAGACACGGGAUACAACCCCUACUAGAGAGCAAAACAAAACAAACCACCAUAGUUGGCCUAAGAGCAGCCAUCAAAUAAGACAGCGUUCAAGCUCAACAGCACCCGUAACCUAAUUCCAACUAACAACAGCUGAUACUCCUAAUAUAUAAACUGGACCACUCUAUUUCUGAAUAGAAGAGAUAAUGUUGAUAUGAGUAACAAGAAAUAUUUCUCCCAGCACAUGUGUAUAUCUGAACGAAUACAUCACUGAUAAUUAACAAAACAAACAUAACCCAACCACUCGCCACGCUAUUAAUUGUUAAUCCAACACAGGAGUGCUACUAGGGAAAGAUUAAAAAAAGUAAAAGGAACUAGGCAAGCAUAAACCCCGCCUGUUUACCAAAAACAUCACCUCUAGCAUGAAAAGUAUUAGAGGCACUGCCUGCCCGGUGACUUUAGUUUAACGGCCGCGGUAUCCUGACCGUGCAAAGGUAGCAUAAUCACUUGUUCUCUAAAUAGGGACUUGUAUGAACGGCCUCACGAGGGUUUGACUGUCUCUUACUUUUAAUCAGUGAAAUUGACAUUCUCGUGAAGAGGCGAGAAUAACAUAAUUAGACGAGAAGACCCUAUGGAGCUUUAAUUAACUAACUCAUAAAUAUAAUAAUCACCCACAAGGCACAAUCCCCCUUUUACUGAGUUAGCAAUUUGGGUUGGGGUGACCUCGGAAUAUAGACAAGCUCCCGAGAAAGUCAAUCAAGACACACAAGUCAAAAUUAAUUUAUUAAACACUGAUCCGCUAUAGCGAUCAACGGAAUAAGUUACCCUAGGGAUAACAGCGCAAUCCUAUUUAAGAGUCCAUAUCGACAAUUAGGGUUUACGACCUCGAUGUUGGAUCAGGACAUCCCAAUGGUGUAGCAGCUAUUAAUGUGUUCGUUUGUUCAACGAUUAAAGUCCUACGUGAUCUGAGUUCAGACCGGAGCAAUCCAGGUCGGUUUCUAUCUAUUUUAGGUCCCUCCCAGUACGAAAGGACAAGAGAGACAGGGCCUACUCAAAAUGAGCGCCUUAAGACAAUGGAUGAAUUCAUCUUAAUCACACUAUGUACAAUAAAACCCAAGAAUAAGGGCUC
RNAcentral lists this ribosomal RNA (1559 nucleotides) under Corynorhinus mexicanus (Mexican big-eared bat). RNAcentral describes it as "16S ribosomal RNA". It matches the Rfam family "Bacterial large subunit ribosomal RNA". The record is from RNAcentral. Lineage: Eukaryota; Metazoa; Chordata; Mammalia; Chiroptera; Vespertilionidae.